GAUUAUGAUCGACUUGAUCUCAUAAUAGCUUGUAGAAAUAUCAGAUAAGUGGAUACAAGUCGAUGGAUUAUAGGUGAAAGGAAUAAAGUAUUCCUUCAUCUGCUUAGGUGGUUCAGCCAUUUGAUUUUCAGGUUUAACAUGGAUCAGUCAUUCAAUUCGGAUUGGGUUCAACUAAGUCAGAAAAAAGAGAUCUCCUACCAUGUAUGUACCAGUGCAAACCCUAAUAUGUGUG
RNAcentral lists this long non-coding RNA (232 nucleotides) under Elaeis guineensis (African oil palm). RNAcentral's name for it is "long non-coding RNA (EGUI_LNC010094)". Lineage: Eukaryota; Viridiplantae; Streptophyta; Magnoliopsida; Arecales; Arecaceae. The record is from RNAcentral.